RNAcentral lists this non-coding RNA (132 nucleotides) under human gut metagenome. Its description in RNAcentral is "RT-14 RNA". It matches the Rfam family "RT-14 RNA". From Rfam's summary of the family: Cloacimonetes, Firmicutes, Proteobacteria. The record is from RNAcentral.
CUCUAAUAUUAUUUCAGAUUAUACAUUUUACGGAAUGUAUACAGUAAAAUGUUAGAUAUUAAAGAGGUUUAUUCCUUCCUAAUUUAGGUAAAUAUGAAUCAGUAAAUUAUGUGCUAGUAGGCAUAGAAAAAA